This 495-nucleotide ribosomal RNA is filed under the name uncultured bacterium. RNAcentral's name for it is "partial 16S ribosomal RNA". It matches the Rfam family "Bacterial small subunit ribosomal RNA", at positions 28 to 505 of the family's 1533-position model. The record is from RNAcentral.
GAUGAACGCUGGCGGCGUGCCUAAUACAUGCAAGUCGAGCGAACGGACGAGAAGCUUGCUUCUCUGAUGUUAGCGGCGGACGGGUGAGUAGCACGUGGAUAACCUACCUAUAAGACUGGGAUAACUUCGGGAAACCGUAGCUAAUACCGGAUAAUAUUUUGAACCGCAUGGUUCAAAAGUGAAAGACGGUCUUGCUGUCACUUAUAGAUGGAUCCGCGCUGCAUUAGCUAGUUGGUAAGGUAACGGCUUACCAAGGCAACGAUGCAUAGCCGACCUGAGAGGGUGAUCGGCCACACUGGAACUGAGACACGGUCCAGACUCCUACGGGAGGCAGCAGUAGGGAAUCUUCCGCAAUGGGCGAAAGCCUGACGGAGCAACGCCGCGUGAGUGAUGAAGGUCUUCGGAUCGUAAAACUCUGUUAUUAGGGAAGAACAUAUGUGUAAGUAACUGUGCACAUCUUGACGGUACCUAAUCAGAAAGCCACGGCUAACUACG